Molecule: long non-coding RNA, 95 nt
Organism: Melanotaenia boesemani (Boeseman's rainbowfish)
Lineage: Eukaryota; Metazoa; Chordata; Actinopteri; Atheriniformes; Melanotaeniidae
Exons: 3
Source: RefSeq, a predicted model, not a curated record
CUGACACUUCUCUGUGAGCAUUUGAACAAACCAUCUAUUUUUAGGAUACAAAACAUGACUUUCAAGGGGAAUAAAAAGAACACAAAAUACAGAAA